CCUACGGGAGGCAGCAGUGGGGAAUAUUGGACAAUGGGCGCAAGCCUGAUCCAGCCAUGCCGCGUGAGUGAUGAAGGCCUUAGGGUUGUAAAAUUCUUUCGCCAGGGAUGAUAAUGACAGUACCUGGUAAAGAAGCCUCGGCUAACUUCGUGCCAGCAGCCGCGGUAAUA
This 170-nucleotide ribosomal RNA is filed under the name uncultured Alphaproteobacteria bacterium. RNAcentral describes it as "partial 16S ribosomal RNA". It matches the Rfam family "Bacterial small subunit ribosomal RNA", at positions 338 to 525 of the family's 1533-position model. The record is from RNAcentral. Lineage: Bacteria; Pseudomonadati; Pseudomonadota; Alphaproteobacteria.